RNAcentral lists this ribosomal RNA (253 nucleotides) under uncultured bacterium. RNAcentral's name for it is "partial 16S ribosomal RNA". It matches the Rfam family "Bacterial small subunit ribosomal RNA", at positions 524 to 776 of the family's 1533-position model. The record is from RNAcentral.
UACAGGGGGCGCGAGCGUUGCUCGGAAUCACUGGGCGUAAAGCGUACGCAGGCGGGUCGAUAAGUCCGUUGUGAAAUCCCCGGGCUCGACCCGGGAACUGCGUCCGAUACUGGAAGGCUUGAAUCCGGGAGAGGGAUGCGGAAUUCCAGGUGUAGCGGUGAAAUGCGUAGAUAUCUGGAGGAACACCGGUGGCGAAGGCGGCAUCCUGGACCGGCAUUGACGCUGAGGCGCGAAAGCCAGGGGAGCAAACGGG